RNAcentral lists this ribosomal RNA (402 nucleotides) under bacterium. RNAcentral describes it as "partial 16S ribosomal RNA". It matches the Rfam family "Bacterial small subunit ribosomal RNA", at positions 355 to 776 of the family's 1533-position model. The record is from RNAcentral.
UGGGGAAUUUUGCACAAUGGGGGAAACCCUGAUGCAGCGACGCCGCGUGAUUUAGAAGGCCUUCGGGUUGUAAAAAUCUUUUCUAUGGGAAGAAAAUGACAGUACCAUAGGAAUAAGGACCGGCUAAUUACGUGCCAGCAGCCGCGGUAAUACGUAAGGUCCGAGCGUUGUCCGGAAUCAUUGGGCGUAAAGGGUACGUAGGCGGGUAAGCAAGUUAGAAGUGAAAUCCUAUAGCUCAACCAUAGUAAGCUUUUAAAACUGCUCAUCUUGAGGUAUGGAAGGGAAAGUGGAAUUCCUAGUGUAGCGGUGAAAUGCGAAGAUAUUAGGAGGAAUACCGGUGGCGAAGGCGACAUUCCGGCCAUAACCUGACGCUGAGGUACGAAAGCGUGGGUAGCAAACAGG